RNAcentral lists this ribosomal RNA (878 nucleotides) under uncultured bacterium. Its description in RNAcentral is "bacterial SSU rRNA". It matches the Rfam family "Bacterial small subunit ribosomal RNA", at positions 54 to 922 of the family's 1533-position model. The record is from RNAcentral.
CAUGCAAGUCGAGGGGAAACGACAUCGAAAGCUUGCUUUUGAUGGGCGUCGACCGGCGCACGGGUGAGUAACGCGUAUCCAACCUGCCCACCACUUGGGGAUAACCUUGCGAAAGUAAGACUAAUACCCAAUGACGUCUCUAGAAGACAUCUGAAGGAGAUUAAAGAUUUAUCGGUGAUGGAUGGGGAUGCGUCUGAUUAGCUUGUUGGCGGGGUAACGGCCCACCAAGGCGACGAUCAGUAGGGGUUCUGAGAGGAAGGUCCCCCACAUUGGAACUGAGACACGGUCCAAACUCCUACGGGAGGCAGCAGUGAGGAAUAUUGGUCAAUGGACGAGAGUCUGAACCAGCCAAGUAGCGUGCAGGAUGACGGCCCUAUGGGUUGUAAACUGCUUUUAUAAGGGAAUAAAGUGAGUCUCGUGAGACUUUUUGCAUGUACCUUAUGAAUAAGGACCGGCUAAUUCCGUGCCAGCAGCCGCGGUAAUACGGAAGGUCCGGGCGUUAUCCGGAUUUAUUGGGUUUAAAGGGAGCGUAGGCCGGAGAUUAAGCGUGUUGUGAAAUGUAGACGCUCAACGUCUGCACCGCAGCGCGAACUGGUUUCCUUGAGUACGCACAAAGUGGGCGGAAUUCGUGGUGUAGCGGUGAAAUGCUUAGAUAUCACGAAGAACUCCGAUUGCGAAGGCAGCUCACUGGAGCGCAACUGACGCUGAAGCUCGAAAGUGCGGGUAUCGAACAGGAUUAGAUACCCUGGUAGUCCGCACGGUAAACGAUGGAUGCCCGCUGUUGGUCUGAAUAGGUCAGCGGCCAAGCGAAAGCAUUAAGCAUCCCACCUGGGGAGUACGCCGGCAACGGUGAAACUCAAAGGAAUUGACGGGGGCCC